This is a long non-coding RNA of Echinops telfairi (small Madagascar hedgehog), 1866 nucleotides long. RefSeq lists it as uncharacterized. The record is from RefSeq and is a predicted model, not a curated record. NCBI's taxonomy places the organism in Eukaryota, Metazoa, Chordata, Mammalia, Afrosoricida, Tenrecidae. The transcript is spliced from 3 exons.
CCCACAAAUUUCUCCCUUUUUUCAUAACUGAUUAGUGCACAGAUUAAUGGAUAUUUUUCUUGUGUACUGAAUGUGUGUGUGUGUGAAUUUGGGGGGGCAUGAAAGAUUUCUGCAUAAAACAAAAAUGGCUGCUGUGACUUAACUCCCCCCUUAGAAAAAAUAUCUGGGGGGGGCAUUAAUCAGUACUCAUGCUCAGUCUGACAUCAGCAUAAAUUGUUAAAGGUUAACUAGUUAAAUACUAGUCCAACUAGAUUUGAUUUUUUUUCUUUUCUUCACUAGUCUCUUCCUCCCCACCUCCCUUCUCUAAAGAAAAGCUUUUUUUUUUUUCUGAAUACUUCAGAAGGGAGUGGUUUGAUGUGAAGGUUUUUUUUUCCCCCUUCAGGCAUUGAAAAGGAAAAGAUGAAAUAUAUGUUUAUAUAUAAAUCUGUGUCUGCAUACCUCACUGAAGUAAAAACGCAUUUAAUUGUGUCCGUGUCUUUUAAGUGAGAAGCGGUACAGGAUUUUUCUUUCUUUGAAAAAAGUGAUAGAAAUUUCAGUGACUUUUUGGGGGAGAGAUAUGAAUAGAUACAAUGAUUGAGGUUUUUUGCAAAGGAGUCCAUGUUUGAUUCUUCCCUUUGCCCGGCCUUUUUAGUGAUUUAUAAUUAUUAGAAAUUUUAUCUUCAUUCUUUUCCACGUUGACACCCCCCACCACCACCACACACACCUUUCCUUUAAUUGUUUGGAUGUAAAAUUUAUCAGAUUUAGGCAAUUGAGUUGGUGUGAGUAGAACAAAAUGUGUAGAAUAAGGGGGGAAAGACUCAAGUCCGAAGAUUGUGAAAUGAUGUUCUCUUUUCUCCCAGUUGAGUACAUUCACCUUCUCCAGCGUUGACAAAGUAGAAGAAACUGAGGGACUGCGUGAGGAAAGUCACUGGACUGAGAAAGAGUCUCCUCAGUGGACCAUCGCCCAGUCUACCAUCUCCCUGUUUUCCUGUCUCCAUCCCUCCACCUUUCCUCCCCUUCUGAACUAUGUCUUUGGGUAAAUGCUGCCCCAGGAUCCCAAGUGGUCGAGUAUUCUAAGGCUGUCAUGUUUUCUGACACCGUCCCACUCUUCACCAUCAGAGAAACCAUCAUCACACUUCUGCCUGAGGGGACAUGCACAAAGGUGUUCAGUACAAUAUUGCUCGUAGUAGCAAAAAAUUGGAAGUACCCUAAGUGUCUAACAGUAAAGACUAGCUAAAUAGAUUAUGCAGCAAUUAAAAAGGAGUUGCUUUUAUAUAUAUAUAUGUGGAUAUGGCUCUUGUGAUAUGCGGUUGAAUGGAAAAUAGCAAUAUGUGGCCAUGUAACCCCGACAACUGACCUCUAUUUUCCUGGAGAAACUGAGGAAGGAGAGUCAGUCGUGAGAGGGGAUAUGGGAUGUGCUGGCAACUGUCUCUGCCUGGCUGCCAUGACUGAGCACUUUGAUAAAGAUUCUGUAGAAGAAUCCUGAUCAAAAGGGAGAGAGUGCAGAACAGAAUUUCUAAUUCCCCUGGACUACAGACUUUUCGAGCCACAAGGAACUGGAUAAACCCUUAAAACCUGAGGCAACCUUUACAACUUAAAUCUAGACUAUCCCUGAAGUCAUCUUAAAGCCAAACAGUAGUUUAGCUUAGCUAGUGAAAAAUGUCUGCCUUGAGCAUUAAGUACCAGCUAUAUGAGAUCAAACAAUAGCAACUUGAAAUAUUUGCUAAGAACCUUAAGGGGUAGUGGGAUUAUCUUAAUGGGGGAGGAACACCCAGAAAAGGAGCCUGAGAAUGAUCAUUAAUGUCACUAAAUUGUAUCUGUAGAGGUUUGCUAUGGCUGUUCUAACACAAUAAGAUAGCAAUAUCAAGUUGUAAAACAGUAGCGAUA